RNAcentral lists this long non-coding RNA (1072 nucleotides) under Piliocolobus tephrosceles (Ugandan red Colobus). Its description in RNAcentral is "lncRNA (ENSPTEG00000036424.1)". Lineage: Eukaryota; Metazoa; Chordata; Mammalia; Primates; Cercopithecidae. The record is from RNAcentral.
CCACGAUGGACACCACCAAUAUUGAGGUUCCAGUCCCUCCGCAGCCAAGCAGGACAGCCCAACCCACGUGCUUAGGGACGGGCCAGCGGGGAUCACACUACUGCGCCUGCGCCCCUGCCCGCUUCUUGGCAGACGCGGCGGCGCAUGCGCAGCCCGGAAGGUCCUGCGUCCCUUAACCAGCUGAGAGCUAAAGGGUCGGGGCCUGAGGGAUGGAAGAGGGAGGGGAAGAUGAAGAAAAUCGGUGAUUAAUGGCUGGCGGAUAUGAUUGGCGGAAAGAAAGAGCCAGUCCACAGUGCGCCUUUGCAUUCGGCGGGAAACCCGGCCGAAGACUAAGCUGGAAAGCACUUCGGAUAAGAGUGAAGCUAUCCUGGCCAAGAACUUUGAGAGAGACACCACUUUUCACUCUGAAGGACCAAAAAAUGAGUAGAAAAUUUGGAAUAAAUGUCAACAAGAUUUGAAGCCUAAAGAAAAACAAGCAUCUGAAUUAGACAGACCUCCAUAUUCAUUCAGCUGGGAAACUAAAACUGUGCAGUCCCAAUAUCAGAAUUUCCUUGGUCAGUUGGCUACUGUGUGACAGUAUUCUUCUGCAUGACAGCAUUGUCUCUCUACCAACUACAGAGGAGGCUGGUAAAGAGAGGAUUCGGAAAAUUGGUGCAAAUAAGAAAUCUUGGAAAUCUGUAAGUAUAUAGAUAUAAAAGUUAUUCUUUCCAAUUUGAUUCUUUUAUGUUGUAGACUUUAAUAUUAGUCGAUUUAGGAAACUCUGUGGCUCUGAAUUAUAGUUAUAAUUCUAUUUUUACUAUUACAGUGAAAGAAGAGAAGAGGCUGUUCAUUAUUAUAUUGGAGGUAGUGCAGCAUGUUUAUUAAGAGCGCGGAGCCCCAGCAUGAAGCCUAGCUCUGCCAUUUGCCAGCUGUGUGCUCUUGGGCAGAUUACUUAUCCUCUCUGUGCCUCAUUUUCAUUUGUGAAGUGGGGGACGGUGUGUAGUUCCCACCUCACAGAGUGAUUGCAGGGUUAACACAUGAUAAAUGCUUAGUUUAGUAUAAGUUCAAUAAAAAUCAAAAUAGGCUGGGUGCA